GUAUGAAAUCUGAUAAAACAAAAGUGUGGCCUAUUUAGUCAAAUAUAGGUCUACAUUAAUGUUUGCUGAAAAACUUUAUAGAGUCCUUUCAUUGUACUUACUGUUAUUGCCUCCACUGAAACUUCCACAAGCAGUCCCUGAUGCCUCUCGAUGUUCUCUAGAUUACUUGACCUGGCCUUCACCUGCAAAUCUACAAGGGCAAGCGUGCACCGUGGUUCCAAUGUCACAACUAUCAAUCCUGUGCAGUCUUCUCCGAUAUCUCAGUGCUUCUCAAUGGCACUAGAUGCCUCUCUGUCAGUAAAUAAAUCAAGACCCAAGUCUUCAAUGACAAUAAGGAAGGCCCAGGCACCUAAUCUGCAUCUAUACAUCUGAAUUUAGAUACUUCAGUCUGGAAUUUCAUCCUGCUCCUGUUUUACUUCGUUGUUCGUAAGACCACCAUUUCUGGGCUGAAACUACAAUGUUAAAUGCCAGAGGAAUACUAAAAGUUUAGGUUCUGUAAGAAGUGUUUUGUCAUGGUUCUCAGAAAGUCUGAAACCAAGGAAACAGCUGGAUAAGCUGUAUGAACAGAAAAUUCUGAGGAUAUAAUUCCUUUUCUAAAGGAAGUGCACACCUCCAGGUUUUUCUGAAAUUAUUCUAUCUGUAAGGCUGUUACUGAAAAUCCAUCUUCCGCAAUACUUACUCCAUUCUGAAUGAAAUGCCCAGCUAAAGUAACCAAAACAAAUAGUUGGCCUACAACAUCAUUACACUUGAUAUCUGUUUGCCCACAGGGCCAGAUUACAUAUAAUUGUUCUCCUUUGUUGUGGAUACAGUUUGCUUCACAAUUAAAUUGCAGCCAGAGUUGGCUGAAGUAUUUUGGCUGUGGGUAGGAAUGUGAAGAUUUCUAUUUUCAAGAGAUUUUCUCCUAUUGCCAGGAAAACAUGCACCAGUAAGUGGAUGAAGACAAAGGACAAGGAAAACAAAACACUGUUAGCAGAUUUGGACUACUCCUGGAUAUGGGGCAGUUCUCAGUCCAUGAACAAGAAGAGUCCUCAGCAGGGCUGGAAGCAGAGGGCUACAGGGAGAUCUGUGGGCAGAUUAAUCACCCAAGCUCUCAGAUGCUCCAGAGAAGAAAUGCGUGAAUUACCCACCUGUGAUGUUACUGCUGCAUAUAAAGGUCUCUGGAGAAUCCAGUGUGUCAGUGAUGAAAUCUGGGCUUUCACGCAUGCCAGGCUAACCAUGAGAAGAGCAUGUGAAGAAAUGUGAACCUGUCAACAUCUGUAGUCACUCCAUCCAGCAUCCUGAUCCUCCAUCUUUCCGCCAACUGUAAAGUGAUGAAAAAAUGGUCCUACUGGAGGGAAAAAAAUUUUGGACAAUUAAUCAACUUUCAAUCCAGCUUUAACUGUUUGACAGUAUGUAAUAAAAUUGCUUUUUCUUUUUACCA
This 1420-nucleotide long non-coding RNA is filed under the name Numida meleagris (helmeted guineafowl). RNAcentral describes it as "lncRNA (ENSNMEG00000001859.1)". Lineage: Eukaryota; Metazoa; Chordata; Aves; Galliformes; Numididae. The record is from RNAcentral.